GAUGAACGCUGGCGGUAUGCUUUACACAUGCAAGUCGUACGAGAGUUUUUAACUCUAGUGGCGGACGGGUGAGUAACACGUAAGAAUUUGCCUUUAGGAGGGGGAUAACAACUGGAAACGGUUGCUAAUACCCCAUAUGCUUUCGAGUGAAAUGGAUUUCCGCCUAAAGAGAAGCUUGCGGCUGAUUAGCUUGUUGGUGAGGUAAUGGCUCACCAAGGCGACGAUCAGUAUCUGGUUUGAGAGGACGAUCAGACACACUGGAACUGAGACACGGUCCAGACUCCUACGGGAGGCAGCAGUGGGGAAUUUUCCGCAAUGGGCGAAAGCCUGACGGAGCAAUACCGCGUGAGGGAUGAAAGCCUAUGGGUUGUAAACCUCUUUUUUCAGGGAGGAACAAAAUGACGUGUACCUGAAGAAUAAGCAUCGGCUAACUCCGUGCCAGCAGCCGCGGUAAGACGGGGGAUGCAAGUGUUAUCCGGAAUCACUGGGCGUAAAGCGUCUGUAGGUGGUUAAGUAAGUCAACUGUUAAAUCUUGAGGCUUAACCUCAAAAUCGCAGUCGAAACUGCUUGACUAGAGUAUAGU
RNAcentral lists this ribosomal RNA (583 nucleotides) under uncultured bacterium. Its description in RNAcentral is "bacterial SSU rRNA". It matches the Rfam family "Bacterial small subunit ribosomal RNA", at positions 28 to 652 of the family's 1533-position model. The record is from RNAcentral.